UACGUAGGUGGCAAGCGUUGUCCGGAUUUACUGGGCGUAAAGAGCGCGCAGGCGGUCGUUCAAGUCGCGUGUGAAAGCCCUCAGCUCAACUGAGGAAGUGCGCCCGAAACUGCAGAGCUUGAGUACCGGAGAGGAUGGCGGAAUUCCCCAAGUAGAGGUGAAAUUCGUAGAUAUGGGGAGGAACACCGGUGGCGAAGGCGGCCAUCUGGACGGAUACUGACGCUGAGACGCGAAAGCGUGGGGAGCAAACAGG
This 253-nucleotide ribosomal RNA is filed under the name uncultured bacterium. RNAcentral describes it as "partial 16S ribosomal RNA". It matches the Rfam family "Bacterial small subunit ribosomal RNA", at positions 524 to 776 of the family's 1533-position model. The record is from RNAcentral.